This 497-nucleotide ribosomal RNA is filed under the name uncultured bacterium. RNAcentral describes it as "partial 16S ribosomal RNA". It matches the Rfam family "Bacterial small subunit ribosomal RNA", at positions 28 to 507 of the family's 1533-position model. The record is from RNAcentral.
GAUGAACGCUGGCGGCGUGCCUAAUACAUGCAAGUCGAGCGAACAGACGAGGAGCUUGCUCCUCUGACGUUAGCGGCGGACGGGUGAGUAACACGUGGAUAACCUACCUAUAAGACUGGGAUAACUUCGGGAAACCGGAGCUAAUACCGGAUAAUAUAUUGAACCGCAUGGUUCAAUAGUGAAAGACGGUUUUGCUGUCACUUAUAGAUGGAUCCGCGCCGCAUUAGCUAGUUGGUAAGGUAACGGCUUACCAAGGCAACGAUGCGUAGCCGACCUGAGAGGAUGAUCAGCCACACUGGAACUGAGACACGGUCCAGACUCCUACGGGAGGCAGCAGUAGGGAAUCUUGGGCAAUGGGCGAAAGCCUGACGGAGCCAUGCCGCGUGAGUGAUGAAGGUCUUCGGAUCGUAAAACUCUGUUAUUAGGGAAGAACAACUGUGUAAGUAACUAUCGCUGUCUUGACGGUACCUAAUCAGAAAGCAACGGCUAACUUCGUG